GUUUCUGUCAUCUAUAAAAAGCUUAGCGCUGCAUUCAGAAGUUGUUAUAUUCAACGAAUCACAUUAGCAGCUGCCUAACGAGACAGUCAAACAGGAAUAUGAAAUCCUAUAUCCUUCUCGCUUUAUUCGCCGCCUGUGUUUUGGUCAGUUUUGCCCAAGAUAAUACACCUGAUGAGGAAAACCAGGAAUCGCAGAUGGAUUCAGAAUCAAAUCUUUCUGAACAACCUUUAUCGGGCAAGGAAUUCGCCGCAUUGUCAGAUGCUAACCAAGAAGCGCAUGUCUCAGAACAAUUAGAUCCAGGCAAGGAUAUCAACUCAUUUAGGUGGCAUCGUAUUCGUUAUUUUCAUCGUCGUCAUCGUCAUCGUCAUCAUCACCAUCAUCAUCAUCAUUAUCAUCAUCAUUAUCAUCAUCAUUAUCAUCAUCAUCAUCAUCAUCAUCAUCAUCAUCGUUGUUGAAGUCGUCGAAGUCGUUCCUCACCGUCAUAAUGUCGUUUGCGAAAAAAAACAAUAGGUUGCAAUUCAAACAUUGGACACUAAACCCCCUUUUUACAUGUUUAGAGGAGGCAUGAAUAAAAAUUUCAAGAAGCAUCU
Long non-coding RNA from Mizuhopecten yessoensis (Yesso scallop), 590 nucleotides. RefSeq lists it as uncharacterized. The record is from RefSeq and is a predicted model, not a curated record. The transcript has 2 exons. Lineage: Eukaryota; Metazoa; Mollusca; Bivalvia; Pectinida; Pectinidae.